GAUGAACGCUGGCGGCGUGCCUAAUACAUGCAAGUCGAGCGAACAGAUGAGGAGCUUGCUCCUCUGACGUUAGCGGCGGACGGGUGAGUAACACGUGGAUAACCUACCUAUAAGACUGGGAUAACUUCGGGAAACCGGAGCUAAUACCGGAUAAUAUAUUGAACCGCAUGGUUCAAUAGUGAAAGACGGUUUUGCUGUCACUUAUAGAUGGAUCCGCGCCGCAUUAGCUAGUUGGUAAGGUAGCGGCUUACCAAGGCAACGAUGCGUAGCCGACCUGAGAGGGUGAUCGGCCACACUGGAACUGAGACACGGUCCAGACUCCUACGGGAGGCGGCAGUAGGGAAUCUUCCGCAAAGGGCGAAAGCCUGACGGAGCAACGCCGCGUGAGUGAUGAAGGUCUUCGGAUCGUAAAACUCUGUUAUUAGGGAAGAACAAAUGUGUAAGUAACUAUGCACGUCUUGACGGUACCUAAUCAGAAAGCCACGGCUAACUACGUG
Molecule: ribosomal RNA, 497 nt
Filed under: uncultured bacterium
Lineage: Bacteria
Description: partial 16S ribosomal RNA
Rfam family: Bacterial small subunit ribosomal RNA
Source: RNAcentral